RNAcentral lists this ribosomal RNA (678 nucleotides) under Klebsiella pneumoniae. RNAcentral's name for it is "partial 23S ribosomal RNA". It matches the Rfam family "Bacterial large subunit ribosomal RNA", at positions 167 to 888 of the family's 2925-position model. The record is from RNAcentral. Lineage: Bacteria; Pseudomonadati; Pseudomonadota; Gammaproteobacteria; Enterobacterales; Enterobacteriaceae.
UAGGUUAACGAGGCGAACCGGGGGAACUGAAACAUCUAAGUACCCCGAGGAAAAGAAAUCAACCGAGAUUCCCCCAGUAGCGGCGAGCGAACGGGGAGCAGCCCAGAGUCUGAAUCAGCUUGUGUGUUAGUGGAACGGUCUGGAAAGUCCGACGGUACAGGGUGAUAGUCCCGUACACCAAAAUGCACAGGCUGUGAACUCGAAGAGUAGGGCGGGACACGUGGUAUCCUGUCUGAAUAUGGGGGGACCAUCCUCCAAGGCUAAAUACUCCUGACUGACCGAUAGUGAACCAGUACCGUGAGGGAAAGGCGAAAAGAACCCCGGCGAGGGGAGUGAAAAAGAACCUGAAACCGUGUACGUACAAGCAGUGGGAGCACCUUCGGGUGUGACUGCGUACCUUUUGUAUAAUGGGUCAGCGACUUAUAUUCUGUAGCAAGGUUAACCGUAUAGGGGAGCCGCAGGGAAACCGAGUCUUAACUGGGCGUUAAGUUGCAGGGUAUAGACCCGAAACCCGGUGAUCUAGCCAUGGGCAGGUUGAAGGUUGGGUAACACUAACUGGAGGACCGAACCGACUAAUGUUGAAAAAUUAGCGGAUGACUUGUGGCUGGGGGUGAAAGGCCAAUCAAACCGGGAGAUAGCUGGUUCUCCCCGAAAGCUAUUUAGGUAGCGCCUCGUGAA